Molecule: long non-coding RNA, 626 nt
Organism: Acyrthosiphon pisum (pea aphid)
Lineage: Eukaryota; Metazoa; Arthropoda; Insecta; Hemiptera; Aphididae
Exons: 4
Source: RefSeq, a predicted model, not a curated record
UGUAAACGUUUACAAUCAACUUUUGACUUAAAACAAUCUUGUGUUCACUUAACUUAGCUUAUCUUGAGUUAAUCAUAUUUAUUAACAAUUACAAAUCUUAGUGUUAACUCCACCAUUGACGGUCCUCAGUCCGUAUGAAAAAGGAGGAAGGGCGCUUUAGACAUUUUUCUUUUUUAGUUGAAGUAUUAAAAAUUAAUCAUGCUUCUCUUGGUUUUAAAGAUAUACUAUACUACCAUUGUCCAACUGUGAAGAAGUAGGUAGGUAGCCAAUUUUAAUAGUGCAGAUCUUUGAAGACCAGGGUGUGUAAAUGUGAAUUGGAAAGUGGCAACAUAUACCUAGUUCAGACUUCAGAAAUGUAGUUAGACAUGAGUUAUGGAAAUUGGAUUCAUUAAUUUUUGGACAUUCAAAACUAUACCAUACUACCAUUGUCCAAUUGUGAAGAAGUAGGUAGCUAAUUUUAAUAGUGCAGAUCUUCAUAGACUUGGAUGUAUAUAUGUGAAUUGGAAAGUGGCAACAUAUACCUAGUUCAGACUUCAGAAAUGUAGUUAGACAUGAGUUAUGGAAAUUGGAUUCAUUAAUUUUUGGACAUUCAAAACUAUACCAUACUACCAUUGUCCAAUUGUGAA